This 21-nucleotide unclassified non-coding RNA is filed under the name Mus musculus (house mouse). RNAcentral describes it as "oocyte_clustered_small_RNA14266". The record is from RNAcentral. Lineage: Eukaryota; Metazoa; Chordata; Mammalia; Rodentia; Muridae.
UCUGCUUCUCACAGGCUGUAC